This 347-nucleotide transfer-messenger RNA is filed under the name Salmonella enterica subsp. enterica serovar Infantis. RNAcentral describes it as "partial transfer-messenger RNA". It matches the Rfam family "transfer-messenger RNA". Rfam says of the family: Bacterial tmRNA, also known as 10Sa RNA or SsrA, is named for its dual tRNA and mRNA-like properties. RNAcentral also lists the same sequence under 1 other name. Lineage: Bacteria; Pseudomonadati; Pseudomonadota; Gammaproteobacteria; Enterobacterales; Enterobacteriaceae. The record is from RNAcentral.
GGGGCUGAUUCUGGAUUCGACGGGAUUUGCGAAACCCAAGGUGCAUGCCGAGGGGCGGUUGGCCUCGUAAAAAGCCGCAAAAAAAUAGUCGCAAACGACGAAAACUACGCUUUAGCAGCUUAAUAACCUGCUUAGAGCCCUCUCUCCCUAGCCUCCGCUCUUAGGACGGGGAUCAAGAGAGGUCAAACCCAAAAGAGAUCGCGUGGAUGCCCUGCCUGGGGUUGAAGCGUUAAAACGAAUCAGGCUAGUCUGGUAGUGGCGUGUCCGUCCGCAGGUGCCAGGCGAAUGUAAAGACUGACUAAGCAUGUAGUACCGAGGAUGUAGGAAUUUCGGACGCGGGUUCAACU